GGACAACCAAAAUGGCUGGCGUCAAGGGAGACGCCACCGCCCCCUGCUCGACGUCUUCCGGAAACUUAUUCGAGAAAAAAAAACAAUUAUUCUGUUUUAACGAAAAAUGAAAAGGCGAAGAUGAAGAUGGUGUUGCGGAACCCGUCCGCGUCAAGAGCGGUUUGUGAAGUGAUAAGUAGGGCGACUCCAACACGCGCAAAGUGUGCCAACGGGAUUCCGUUGAUUUCCAGUUUUGUUUAUUGGCGGCGCCACGAUCGAUAUCGACGUUGACUGACUAGGUUUUUUUUUAUUGGAUACGUUCUUUUAUUCAAUAAAUGUCAAAUUUUUUUU
Non-coding RNA from Onthophagus taurus, 330 nucleotides. Lineage: Eukaryota; Metazoa; Arthropoda; Insecta; Coleoptera; Scarabaeidae. The record is from RefSeq and is a predicted model, not a curated record.